This 1047-nucleotide long non-coding RNA is filed under the name Equus asinus (donkey). RNAcentral's name for it is "lncRNA (ENSEASG00005029301.1)". The record is from RNAcentral. Lineage: Eukaryota; Metazoa; Chordata; Mammalia; Perissodactyla; Equidae.
CUCAAGUCCCUUACUGCCCCACUCCAAUCGCCUUCUCAGUCUGACCCAAAUCUUCAUGCAACUAAUCCUUUAGAUUUUCCCUCAGAAUAAGUCCACCACCGCCACAGUGCCUGUCUACCUGCUAGCGAGAGGGAGAAGCUUUCAUUAAAAGCAAGAAAUCAAGGGACCACACGGUAUCCCUUUUACAUAUUCCUCCUGCCUUAGCUCCUCUCCCAAACCAGACUUGUAGAGACCAAAGGUAGAAGGACAGUUGGUGUCACCUCCCCAGAGCUGGAGAAGAAAAAGAGAACUGGGGGUAGGAAAGGAGGUGAGGAAAUAGUUAAAGCAAGUUUUUACCUUAAAGAAGUAGGUGCUGGUCCAGGACUGAGAAGGAGGGUUCAGCUCUGGCAAUUCGAUGGGGUAGGUGGGUACAAGGAGGGGUGCCGCCACAGUCCCAGCUGCCUUCCAGCUGUCAACGCCAGAGCUUACACACGUUUAUACGGGUUUAUGAGCGGUAGUCCUGACUGGGUCUUGGCCACUUCCGGACUCACGCCCACAACCAACCAGGGACACCAAGGGGGAGGUAGGGGCUCAGCCCAAGUGCUCCCCAGUGGCUCAGAGUGUCUUCAGGAUUCCUGAGUCGCUGAGUGUAGGGCAUGCGCUCCAGGCCCAGACUGCAAGCUGGUUUUCAAAGGAAGUUUGUGGUUUUUCUUUUUUCUUCUUUCUCUCUCUCUUUUUUUCCCAUCGAGACAAAGAAAAAUUAGUCAAGGACAAGCUCCCUGGAGGAGGAGGGGCCUGCCCAGCACUGGAGGAUUUCCAUCGGGGCUUUCUGACCUGGUCAGCAGCUUGGUGAUCAGCAGUGAGGGAGAGAGAAACAAGGAGAGAAAAACAACAGACCCUUUCUCUUCCCUCCGCCUGCCGCUGGAAGGGACGGAGCGCUUGUGCCUCUCUGUCUAGAAAUGAAACUUGUUGGGCUGUGCUCCCGGCAGUGCAGAAGAUGUGGAAGAAACCCCAGGCCCUGGGAAGAGAGUGCAGCAGGGAGAGAACCAGCUGAGCCAGCAGGAGAUC